AGGUAAUAAUAUAAAAUAAAACCUUAUUAUAAUGGCGGCUUUAUAUCUUAUUAGAGGAACUUGUAAAAUAAACGAUAAUACCCGUUAUUUUUCACUUUAAUUUUAAUUUAUAUAUCGCCAUCAAGAAUAAAUUUAAAAAUUUUUUCAUUUUAAAAAAUAAAAAGUUAGGUCAAGGUAUAAUUUAUAUUAAAGAUCUUAUGAGUUACACUAAAGCAUAUUUAAGGAUAAAAAUUUUAAAUAAUUUUUUGAAAAAGAAUUUAUAAUUAAUAGUAUAAUAAUAUUAAAUUAUGAAUAAGAUUAUAAAAGUGC
This 309-nucleotide ribosomal RNA is filed under the name Austrochilus sp. SP9. RNAcentral describes it as "partial 12S ribosomal RNA". Lineage: Eukaryota; Metazoa; Arthropoda; Arachnida; Araneae; Austrochilidae. The record is from RNAcentral.